Molecule: ribosomal RNA, 624 nt
Filed under: Campylobacter jejuni
Lineage: Bacteria; Pseudomonadati; Campylobacterota; Epsilonproteobacteria; Campylobacterales; Campylobacteraceae
Description: bacterial SSU rRNA
Rfam family: Bacterial small subunit ribosomal RNA
Source: RNAcentral
GGAAUAGACGGGGACCCGCACAAGCGGUGGAGCAUGUGGUUUAAUUCGAAGAUACGCGAAGAACCUUACCUGGGCUUGAUAUCCUAAGAACCUUAUAGAGAUAUGAGGGUGCUAGCUUGCUAGAACUUAGAGACAGGUGCUGCACGGCUGUCGUCAGCUCGUGUCGUGAGAUGUUGGGUUAAGUCCCGCAACGAGCGCAACCCACGUAUUUAGUUGCUAACGGUUCGGCCGAGCACUCUAAAUAGACUGCCUUCGUAAGGAGGAGGAAGGUGUGGACGACGUCAAGUCAUCAUGGCCCUUAUGCCCAGGGCGACACACGUGCUACAAUGGCAUAUACAAUGAGACGCAAUACCGCGAGGUGGAGCAAAUCUAUAAAAUAUGUCCCAGUUCGGAUUGUUCUCUGCAACUCGAGAGCAUGAAGCCGGAAUCGCUAGUAAUCGUAGAUCAGCCAUGCUACGGUGAAUACGUUCCCGGGUCUUGUACUCACCGCCCGUCACACCAUGGGAGUUGAUUUCACUCGAAGCCGGAAUACUAAACUAGUUACCGUCCACAGUGGAAUCAGCGACUGGGGUGAAGUCGUAACAAGGUAACCGUAGGAGAACCUGCGGUUGGAUCACCUCCUUU